GAGAAAGGCCCGCCCGCAACGAAGGCUGCUAACCCUCGUAACUUCGGUUGAACUCCGAGGCUUUCUCG
Molecule: transfer RNA, 68 nt
Filed under: Eugnathogobius oligactis
Lineage: Eukaryota; Metazoa; Chordata; Actinopteri; Gobiiformes; Gobiidae
Description: tRNA-Ser
Source: RNAcentral